This 322-nucleotide small nuclear RNA is filed under the name Oryctolagus cuniculus (rabbit). RNAcentral's name for it is "7SK RNA". It matches the Rfam family "7SK RNA". From Rfam's summary of the family: 7SK was discovered as an abundant small nuclear RNA in the mid-70s but a possible function has only recently been suggested. Two independent studies have found that 7SK RNA binds the CDK9/cyclin T complex (known as elongation factor P-TEFb). P-TEFb activates transcription by phosphorylating the C-terminal domain of RNA polymerase II. Lineage: Eukaryota; Metazoa; Chordata; Mammalia; Lagomorpha; Leporidae. The record is from Rfam by way of RNAcentral.
AAAUGUGAGGGCAAUCUGGCUGCUACAUCUGUUACCCUAUUGAUCACCAGGAUUGUUUUGGCUGGUGUGGCUGGCCAGGCAGGUGACCCUUCCUCCCUCACUGUUCCAUGUACAACCCUUCUGAAACUCUGGCCUUUCCCACUAGAGGAGGACCAAUCUUUUGUCAAGGAUAUAAGAGUUGUGCUCCCCUGCUAGAACCUACAAACAAGCUCUCAGUUCAUGAAAGUCACUUCUCUUGCAUAUUGUGAAAUGUAAGAAAGGGUAUCAUAUUUUCUCAAUAUCCUGUUUAUAGGUUGCUUUAUAUUUGUAAAAGAUACAAUAU